This 67-nucleotide transfer RNA is filed under the name Marmota monax (woodchuck). RNAcentral's name for it is "tRNA.Ala". The record is from RNAcentral. Lineage: Eukaryota; Metazoa; Chordata; Mammalia; Rodentia; Sciuridae.
GGUUGUGGCUCAGGGGUAGAGCGCUUGCCUAGCAAGUGUGAGGCUCUUGGUUUGAUCCUCAGCACCA